This 102-nucleotide non-coding RNA is filed under the name Novosphingobium sp. RNAcentral describes it as "Glycine sequence". It matches the Rfam family "Glycine riboswitch aptamer". Rfam says of the family: This family represents the bacterial glycine riboswitch. The record is from RNAcentral. Lineage: Bacteria; Pseudomonadati; Pseudomonadota; Alphaproteobacteria; Sphingomonadales; Sphingomonadaceae.
GACGACCGCAUGGGAGAGCCCGGUAGAAACCUGUGUUUCGAUCCGGCGCCGACGGAGCAACCCCCCAGGAAACUCUCAGGCACCAGGAACCGUGUGGUCUUG